UAGAGUUUGAUCCUGGCUCAGAACGUACGCUGGCGGCACGCCUAACACAUGCAAGUCGAACGAAGUAGCAAUACUUAGUGGCAGACGGGUGAGUAACAUGUAGGUAUCUACCCUUUGGCCUGGAAUAACACGAGGAAACUUGUGCUAAUACCGGAUAAGUCUUUACGGAGAAAGCUUUAUGCACCAUUGGAUGAGCCUGCACUUGAUUAGUUUGUUGGUGGGGUAAUGGCCUACCAAGACUUUGAUCAAUAGCUGAUUUGAGAGGAUGAUCAGCCACAUUGGGACUGAGACACGGCCCAAACUCCUACGGGAGGCAGCAGUGGGGAAUCUUGCACAAUGAAGGAAACUCUGAUGCAGCGAUGCCGCGUGGGUGAAGAAGGCCUUUGGGUUGUAAAGCUCUUUCGUCGGGGAAGAAAAUGACUGUACCCGAAUAAGAAGGUCCGGCUAACUUCGUGCCAGCAGCCGCGGUAAUACGAAGGGACCUAGCGUAGUUCGGAAUUACUGGGCUUAAAGAGUUCGUAGGUGGUUGAAAAAGUUGGUGGUGAAAUCCCAGAGCUUAACUCUGGAACUGCCAUCAAAACUUUUCAGCUAGAGUUUGAUAGAGGAAAGCAGAAUUUCUAGUGUAGAGGUGAAAUUCGUAGAUAUUAGAAAGAAUACCAAUUGCGAAGGCAGCUUUCUGGAUCAUUACUGACACUGAGGAACGAAAGCAUGGGUAGCGAAGAGGAUUAGAUACCCUCGUAGUCCAUGCCGUAAACGAUGUGUGUUAGACGUUGGAAAUUUAUUUUCAGUGUCGCAGCGAAAGCGAUAAACACACCGCCUGGGGAGUACGACCGCAAGGUUAAAACUCAAAUGAAUUGACGGGAACCCGCACAAGUAGUGGAGCAUGUGGUUUAAUUCGAAGAUACGCGCAGAACCUUACCAACACUUGACAUGUUCGUCGCGACUUUAAGAGAUUAAAGUUUUCGGUUCGGCCGGACGAAACACAGGUGCUGCAUGGCUGUCGUCAGCUCGUGUCGUGAGAUGUUGGGUUAAGUCCCGCAACGAGCGCAACCCUCACUUUUAGUUGCCAUCAUUAAGUUGGGCACUCUGAAAGAACUGCCAGUGAUAAGCUGGAGGAAGGUGGGGAUGACGUCAAGUCCUCAUGGCCCUUACGUGUUGGGCUACACACGUGCUACAAUGGUAUUUACAACAGGAAGCAAAACGGCGACGUUAAGCAAAUCCUUAAAAAAUACCUCAGUUCGGAUUGCACUCUGCAACUCGAGUGCAUGAAGCUGGAAUUACUAGUAAUCGUGGAUCAGCGUGCCACGGUGAAUGCGUUCCCGGGUCUUGUACACACCGCCCGUCACACCAUGGGAGUUGGUUCUACCUUAAGGCAAGGUUUUAAACCCUUGACCACGGUAUAGUCAGCGACUGGGGUGAAGUCGUAACAAGGUAACCA
Molecule: ribosomal RNA, 1438 nt
Filed under: uncultured bacterium
Lineage: Bacteria
Description: bacterial SSU rRNA
Rfam family: Bacterial small subunit ribosomal RNA
Source: RNAcentral